Molecule: long non-coding RNA, 1965 nt
Filed under: Cinara cedri
Lineage: Eukaryota; Metazoa; Arthropoda; Insecta; Hemiptera; Aphididae
Source: RNAcentral
GGCCGACUAUAAUUUGUCAUCAAAUAACAUAACAAGAAAAAUGUUUUUGUCAUAAAAUUUAAAAUACUCAAUAUUUUACAGAACAUUUGGAUUUUAGAAAUGAAAAAUAAAAACAAAAAUAACUAGUUUCUUUUAAUUUUUAAUGGGUUAUAUUAGAAUAUUUUCCACAUUCAAUUUAAUUAGUUAAGCUUUAAAGUUAUUAUGAAUAAUUUGCAUGUGACAUUUCAUAAAAAUAUUAUUACCACACUACUUUGGUGUGCAUUGAGUCUAAGAUAGUGACAAAAUCUGAUUUUUAAAUUAAAAUUAAAACAAAAUUGUUACUGAUUAUGUGGGCUAGUGUUAUAAGUGAAAAAGUUACAAGGGAAGAUAUUAUAUUAUUAUGUUUUAUUUAAAUAAAACAUAUAUUAUUGCUAAUGGAUGCAAUUAUACGAUUAAAAAACAAAUAAUAAUAACAAUAAUAUAGUUAAGCUGUUAAAAUUGUUACGAUUCAUUUUAAAGAAAACAAGAGCUGAUACUGAGGAGAGGUGUUCCACUGUUGUAGGUGGGUUAUAAUGAUCCUUCUGUUAAAUUUUUAAUAAUUUCUGAUUAAUCUAAAAUUUUUAUUCAUAUACAUUUUGCCUACAAAAUAAAAAUUAUAUAAAAACUAUCUGAAUUUAAAUGUAUAAAUAGCGUAAAUGUUUUGAUAAUUUGAUCACAUAUAGAAAAGGAAAAUAUAAGUAUUAUGUUAAAAUUUCAAGUAUUUACAAAUAUUUUAAACUGAACUACAACAAAAAAACAAAAUUAAAAAUAAUAAAAGUAUAGCAAUAAUAUCAUAGGAGAUUAUCAAAGUUGUUUUAUGUCAGGCAGAUCAACAAUAAACCAUAUAUUCACACUUAAACAAGUAAACAAGUAAUAAAAAAAUACUAUGAAUUUAACAGGCUGUUUCACUUACUCUUUAUAGAUUUUAAAGUACAAAGAGCAGAAAUAUGUUUAAAGUUGUUUGAAUUAACUGAGGCUGAUACAUUUCACUAUUGGCAUAUGCUGAUGACGUUUAAUAUUAGGCGAAAGUAAUCAAGACAUUCAAAAAGCAACAGAAUCAUUGAUACAUGCAAAAAAUGGAGACUCAUCAUUAAUGAGACAAACAAAAUACAUGAUGUCAAAUUCAAUAGCUGUCAUACACAACAUAAAUCUGGAGCAUGUUUGAAGAAGCAAAUAAUUUUAAAUAUCUAGGCACAAACAACAACCAUGAAGAAAUCAAAAUGGCAUUAUAUAAAGGAAUAAGUGUUUUCAUGUCCUCUUGGAGUUAAUAGCUACUAUUAAAAAAAAAAAAGUAAAGAACAAUUUUACAGAGUACUAGCUAGACCAGCAUGCAAGGAGAUUAAAAUAGAUUAGCUAUCAUUUAGAGAAAAUUAUUAUUAAGAGAAAAAGACCAAGCAUAAGAAAUUAGGUUUAAUAGAGAAAUACAGGAACUAAUCAGAAAAUUAAAUAUAACAGCAGAAAUAAGAUACAAGAGACCGAGUUGACUUGGACUAAAGGCUAAAUCAAUAGCAAAUGAUGUAAUGAGCUGGGUUCCUCAGGGAAGGAGGCCAAUUAGAAGACCGAAACAGAGAUAGAUUGACAAUAGUAAAAAAGAGGUAAGACAACUUGGGAUAGAAAAGGUCAAUGAAACAGCUCUGAACAGAGACAUAUGGAAAGAAUUGUGUUUUGUAGCCAUAGGCCUCAAUGGUUCCUAAAGCUGAAAGAAGAAUAAAAGCAUUGUUUUCAUUAACUUUUCCUAUUCUUUCAACUCCCUCGUUUGUUCAAUUAAUAAAAAAAAACUACAGGAAAAACUAAAAUAAGACUAUUACUUGUCAAAUAUAUUAAAUAUGGAACAAAAAAUUAUUUUGUUUUUCUAUUGGAGCGAUAUUUCUGGUAAAAAGACAUUGCGACAAAAAUUAAAAAUAAAUACUGUGAAAACUAUGUUGGAUAUCAAAAUCCAACUUUUUU